This 1487-nucleotide long non-coding RNA is filed under the name Piliocolobus tephrosceles (Ugandan red Colobus). Its description in RNAcentral is "lncRNA (ENSPTEG00000015640.1)". The record is from RNAcentral. Lineage: Eukaryota; Metazoa; Chordata; Mammalia; Primates; Cercopithecidae.
GAGGAUAUAAGGAAGCAGUACCACUUACUGUUGUAACAGAUGUAAAAAAAUAUGAGGAAGAAGAUGAUGGUGAUAAUGUAUCUAAAGGUACCAAUAUAAAUAGCUCUAAUCCGAAAGAGAGCAGUUUAAAUAUUUAUUUUUAUUUUUUUAAAUUUUUUUAAAAAAAUUAUUAAAAUAUGGUAACUAUUUUGUUCAGGUGUUAAUAUGUAGAAUAGUUGUUAAUGUAUAUUUACAUAUUUAUAUAAAAUUGAAAAAAGAGAAAUUGAUUUUUUAUUUUUUGCAUAAGGUAAUCAGAAAUUGUAAAACAAAAACGAAUAAAAAUUGCUAUUUUCUGUUGUUUAUCGAAUUUAUAAAAAGAAAAGAAACGAAAAUGUUAAUAGAAAAUAAUAAAAAGAAAUUUAGACAUAUAUUUUUUCAGUUUUUAACUAUUUUGGUAAAAAGUAACAUAUAUUCAGAAAUAUUGUUACUAUUACAAAUAUUAAAUUUUUUAUAUGAUAAAAUAGAAAUAUCAAUACAUAAAAAUAUAAUAUUACUAUUAUUCAGUAAGUUAACAAUGUAUAAAAAUGAUAUGUACUUAUCUGUACUAAUUAACGAAUUACUAAUAAAAAUAACAAAAACUAUUGUUAAUUUUAUUGUUAUUUUAGAAUUACACAUAUCAAAUAAAAACGAACAUACCAUAGAAUCUUUUUUGUACAUAUGGUUCUUGCAUAUCAAGCAGAAUAACAAAAAAGAAUUCCAAGCUAAAGAAAAUAUACACAGCGAAAUAUGCACUUAUGAUGCCUUUAUGUAUAAAGAAAAAUGUAAAAAAAAAAAAGAAAUACUACAGCAACGCUUACAUAGAAAAUCAUUUGAUCAAAAGUGGGUGCUCGACAAUUGCAUUAACAAGCAUGUUGAACCUACUAAAGAAGAAACCUUUGAUAAGAGGAUAUACAUUUAUGCAUAUUUAUUACUCUUUGAAAUUCUUAAUAUGUUUCAAAAUAACAUAAAAAUAAAAAAAUACUGCUUUAGUAUUUUAUUAAGUAUUAUAAAAUUUAUAUCUAUCGAGAAUUUGUUUAUAUUUGACAAGAUGAAAGAUUAUUUUAUUAAAAAUGUUAAGCAAGCUUAUUUGGACAAGUAUGUUAUAGCUUAUAGUUACCAUGUGUGUGUGAAAUAUUUUGCUACCACUGGUUGUGUUGGUUGUGCGUGUGGUUAUGAUAGUAGUAACAGUAGUGGUAGUAACAGUAGUGGUAGUAACAAUAGUGGUAGUACCAGUAGUGGUAGUAACAAUAGUGGUAGUAACAGUAGUGACAGUAACAAUGGUGAUAGUAACAGUAGUGACAAUAACAAUGGUGAUAGUGACAGUAACUGUAGUGACAGUGACAAGGGUAGUGGAGAAAAAGUUUAUAAUAUUGCAGAAUUAAAUUUAUUUACUCAAGCCAUUAUCGAUUAUGUUGACAAAGAAAAGGAAAUACUUAUAUCAUUAUGCGAUAUCAAAUGUGAUGAAAUGA